This 399-nucleotide ribosomal RNA is filed under the name uncultured bacterium. Its description in RNAcentral is "partial 16S ribosomal RNA". It matches the Rfam family "Bacterial small subunit ribosomal RNA", at positions 360 to 776 of the family's 1533-position model. The record is from RNAcentral.
AAUAUUGCACAAUGGGCGAAAGCCUGAUGCAGCAACGGCGCGUGAAUGAAGAGGGCCUUCGGGUCGUAAAGUUCUUUGAUCAGGGAUGAUAAGGACAGUACCUGAAAAACAAGCCACGGCUAACUAUGUGCCCGCAGCCGCGGUAAUACGUAGGUGGCGAGCGUUGUCCGGAAUUACUGGGCGUAAAGGAUGCGUAGGUGGAUACUUAAGUGGGAUGUGAAAUCCCCGGGCUCAACCCGGGAACUGCAUUCCAAACUGGGUAUCUAGAGUGCAGGAGAGGAACGCGGAAUUCCUAGUGUAGCGGUGAAAUGCGUAGAUAAUAGGAGGAACACCAGUGGCGAAGGCAGCUUUCUGGACUGUAACUGACACUGAGGCAUGAAAGCGUGGGUAGCAAACAGG